Molecule: ribosomal RNA, 594 nt
Filed under: Phloeopora sp. ZMUN 10008442
Lineage: Eukaryota; Metazoa; Arthropoda; Insecta; Coleoptera; Staphylinidae
Description: partial 16S ribosomal RNA
Rfam family: Bacterial large subunit ribosomal RNA
Source: RNAcentral
UUAAAUAGCUGCAGUAUACUGACUGUACAAAGGUAGCAUAAUCAUUAGUUUUUUAAUUGAAAGCUGGAAUGAAAGGUUGGACGAGAAAAUAACUGUCUCUAGUAAAAUUUAUUAGAAUUUUAUUUUUAAGUUAAAAAGCUUAAAUUGUUUUAAAAGACGAGAAGACCCUAUAGAGUUUUAUAUUAAAAUAAUUAAAUUAUUAAUUUGUUUUAUAAAAGUAUUUAAUUAUGUAAUAUUUGGUUGGGGUGAUUUUAAAAUUUAAAAAACUUUUUAUUAUUAUUAACAUUAAUAAAUGAAUUAAUUGAUCCAUAUAUUUAUGAUUAAAAGAUUAAAUUACCUUAGGGAUAACAGCGUAAUUUUUUUUUAGAGUUCUAAUCGAUAAAAAAGUUUGCGACCUCGAUGUUGGAUUAAAAUAAAUUUUUGGUGUAGGAGCUAAAAUAUUAAGUCUGUUCGACUUUUAAAAUUUUACAUGAUCUGAGUUUAAACCGGUGUGAGCCAGGUUGGUUUCUAUCUUUAAGUUAAUAUUGAUAUAUUUUAGUACGAAAGGACCAAAUAUACAAAAAAUUUUUAUUUUAAGAUGAAUAUUAGUAAUUU